GACGUCAUAAACACCAUCAACUUUGGUGUUUAUGACGUCGAUAUUCGACGUCAUAAACACGAUCAACUUUGGUGUUUAUGACAUCGAUAUUCGACGUCAUAAACACGAACAAGUUUGGUGUUUAUGACGUCGUUAUACGACGUCAUAAACACGAACAAGUUUGGUGUUUAUGACGUCGAUAUUGGACGUCAUAAACACGAUCAACUUUGGUGUUGAUGACAUCGAUAUUCGACGUCAUAACCACGAACAAGUUUGGUGUUUAUGAAGUC
RNAcentral lists this microRNA precursor (269 nucleotides) under Paramuricea clavata. Lineage: Eukaryota; Metazoa; Cnidaria; Anthozoa; Malacalcyonacea; Plexauridae. The record is from RNAcentral.